This 486-nucleotide ribosomal RNA is filed under the name uncultured bacterium. RNAcentral's name for it is "partial 16S ribosomal RNA". It matches the Rfam family "Bacterial small subunit ribosomal RNA", at positions 899 to 1397 of the family's 1533-position model. The record is from RNAcentral.
ACUCAAAGGAAUUGACGGGGACCCGCACAAGCAGCGGAGCGUGUGGUUUAAUUCGAGGCUACGCGCAGAACCUUACCAGGGAUUGACAUGACUGUGGUAGUGAAGCGAAAGCGGAACGACCCUUCGGGGAGCAGUCACAGGUGAUGCAUGGCUGUCGUCAGCUCGUGCCGUGAGGUGUUUGGUUAAGUCCACUAACGAGCGCAACCCCUAGCCUCGGUUACACGUGUCUGAGGCGACUGCCGGUAUUAAGCCGGAGGAAGGUGGGGAUGACGUCAAGUCCGCAUGUCCUUUAUAUCCUGGGCUACACACACGCUACAAUGGCCAGUACAGUGGGUCGCGAAGCCGCGAGGCGGAGCCAAUCCUAAAAAGCUGGUCUCAGUUCGGAUUGCAGGCUGCAACCCGCCUGCAUGAAGUCGGAGUUGCUAGUAACCGCAGGACAGCUAUACUGCGGUGAAUACGUUCCCGGGUCUUGUACACACCGCCCGU